Molecule: non-coding RNA, 2606 nt
Filed under: Pongo abelii (Sumatran orangutan)
Lineage: Eukaryota; Metazoa; Chordata; Mammalia; Primates; Hominidae
Source: RNAcentral
AGACCCGGCACCCGCGCAACGGAGGAGGGGCGCUGUGCCGUCUCCCCAACGGCGGUCAGCUUGGACCGCCUGCCCGGCGCACGCCCGGGGCGGGGGAGCCGAACUCGGUGCCAGCCGCACCCGGGCGGGUUGCUGGUGCGCCCUCCCCUCGCCCCCGUCCCGGGGGUCCUUGACCCAGGCUCUUGGGGCUAGCCUAUCUUGUGAGGAGCACAAGGUCCCUGGGGGCUCAGGGAAGAGAAAUUGGAGAAAGGGGGAGGAAGCCCCCAAGAUAGAUCACCCAUUGCCUGAUUUCGCAGGAGACUGUCCGCCUUCAGUUCUCCAGCAGCUCGGGGAUCAUGGCCCACUGAACCCCCAAGCGCUUUCACCCGAACCCAGGGAGGACGACCAGGAAAGACGGGAACUCGCGUAGACACGCCCGGAAGCCCUUGUCAUGUAAAUAGCUGUCGGGGACUGGUAUAUUGUCGCCGCCCCAGCCGGCGGGACCUGGGGCGAAUCCACACCCAUUGUCUGCUGCCCGAGGGGCCACCGGCUGGGGGGCGCGGCUCCGGAGUUCAAAAGGGGUAUGAGCGGGAGGGUUGUACUUUUAUUUCAUUAAGUUUUAAUUACAGGAGUGCUACAAGAACACAUCCUUCUGGUUUAAAAAGAUAUUAAAAUAUUACAUAAGAGACCUCCCCUCCCUGGCCCACCUCCAGCCUCUUAAGAAUUUAGUGUGUCGCCUUUUAGACACUUUCUCAAAGCUUCACUUAUUUAACAGGCACUUAAGGAGCACCUACCUGUGCCAGAAACUCUCCAAAUAUUAACUCAACCUGACACCGACUCAGUGUGGCCGAAUAUUACUCUCCCCAUUUUACAGAGCGGGAAGCUUGUCAAGGAAGUCGCUUGUUGAAAUUCACACAGUGGUGGAGCCUGUGUUCCAACCCAGGACCCUGGGGUAGCUGCCUCCCCCUCUCCCACAUAGUCCUGAUUCUUUAAAUACCCACAUAUUUUUGUAACGCCUGGAGUUUCAGUAAUUAGCAGGGACUUAGUGUGUGUUCAGAGAAAAAAAAAAAAGCUUUUAAAAAUUAUUGUUACUGUGUUUGUAACAGUUUGGAUAGAGAAGGAAAAGCUGGAAUUUGGGAAGUGAAGGUGGCCUCCGGGGAGAACUUACCUAGACCAGAGCGAAUUCAUCCUGAAGAACUCAGGGAAAGCCGGUGCAGGUCGUGGGUUCCCGCUCUCCCUGCAUAGGCACCGUGGUGCUGCCAGAGCUCCCCCAGAAAGACCAGGAGGCUUGUUCUGGAGAAGUCAAGCCCAGGGAUGUGGCUCAGGCUGGUCCAGGCUCUUUGGAGGAGUCCAAGCGUGCCCAGCCCAGGGGGAGGUUCAGAGGCACUGACCGUCUUCUGUUUGGGAGGAGAAGCUCACUCUUGGAGCCACAGCCAGCACUAGGUCAGGACCCAGGCCCCGGCCCAGGAGUGGGGCAAUACCCAGGGUCUACCCCAGAUGGCACCCUGCUGUGAACUGGGCGCCCUCAGCCCCCGCCUUGAAGAAGGGGCAAUACCACCAGCGUGUCUUUUAUCAGGGAAGAUAUUGCUGCAGUUUGGCCCCUGCAACUUAAGAGAAAAGCUGAGGGGUCCCCAAGCGUCCCUUGGGGUACCACUGCAAAUACUGAGUGGGCCUGGAGAUGACCUGGGUCCCAUUCACUUCCUAGGAUGAAGGAGGUCAUCAUUACCACCCCUGCUUUCAGCCAUUUCUUCAUUCAUUCAAUCAACAAACUCUGGCUGAGCCGCAACCCUGAGCCGGAGAAUUCAGCCACGCCAGACGCAGCCCCUGCCCUCCGGGAAGUCUCGGGAGACCUGGCUAGUCUGGCUGGGAGAAGUCACACCUUGAUUGUCUUGGAAGUGAGAUGGCGUUUACACAAUGGAGGCUGCACUGCCAGCAGGCAAAGAUAACCAGUUAAUUCAGUGGCUUAAAGAAACCAAACCUACCCACAACGCUUGACCUCCCAUUCAUCCGUCUGCGACACCGGCAGUGGCUACCGUUUAUUGAGUGCUGAUGGUGUCACCUGGGAUUGACUUAGUGGUCUCUGGUGCUAGUUCCAAAGUUGAUUCUGUCUGGAGAGCUUAAUGCAGUGUUCAGACCUCAGGGUCCGAACCUGAGGGUCACCCAAAGAUGAGUGGGACAUAGCUGUGUGACCUCGGCUGAGUGCUUUCACCUCUCCAACCUCAGUUUCCUCUUCUGCAAAAUGGGGUGGCUUCAUGGCACCUUCACGUGGUGUGAUAGCGAGGAAUGAAGGGAUCGAUGCCUUGCAAGUAGAGGAGAGGGGACCGGAUACAUCUUAGUUGUUAUGUUAUUUAAUCAUCUUGGCAACCCUGGGAGGGAGGAACCACUAUCAUUUUAUUUUCCAUUUUGCAGAUGAAGAGAAUGAUGAUUCCAGCACAGACAGGGCCCCUGACGGGGCAGUAGGAAAGGAGAAUUGCUUUGGAAGGAGCAUAGGCUGGACUGCCAGCACUCAUAGGAGGCUUCGUGUGUGCCCAGGACUGCGAGAAUUAAAUGCAGGACACCCGGUUCAGUUUGAAUUUCAGAUAAACUAUGAAUAAUGUUUAGUAUAAGUAUAUCUCAAUUUAACUGGA